This is a long non-coding RNA of Malaclemys terrapin pileata, 2252 nucleotides long. RefSeq lists it as uncharacterized. NCBI's taxonomy places the organism in Eukaryota, Metazoa, Chordata, Testudines, Emydidae. The record is from RefSeq and is a predicted model, not a curated record. The transcript is spliced from 3 exons.
CAAGCAUGAAGAUGGGAUUUUGAGACAGGACAUUUGGACCUUCUUGCUCUUCAGGCCCACCUAACAUACUGAGGAAGGCUUUACUGGGGGUGUGCCAGCAACAGAGCCCCACACCACCCACAGCUGUACUUCAGCAACUGCAUAGCAUUCAUCACCUGAUUUAACAGGCAGCACCAGCACGUGAGAGGAAAAGAGAAACUACAAGGAGUAGCUGGAAUUUCCCUGGGACUCCGCAGCUGCCCAGGUGGCUCUGAAAGCCUUUGGGUGCGACACCUUCCCACAGGCUGAAGUGACUCACUCAGACUCUCCUCUGAAGAAUUCACUUCACACUGCUCCUAGCACAGAAGAAAAGAGGCUUGAAUUCCAAGGGUUCAGCAAGGGGGAGCGGAUGUCAGAAUUCAAAGCCACCGUGGGCCUCAUCUGCAGUCCCGAGGAAAACACCCAGACCAGGGAUGGCUGCUACUGUUGAUGAGACUCUUUCCGUGUGGCUGGGAGCCGCUGUUUCCAGUGGGAAGAACGGGAGAGCUCAGAGCUCCCAGAAGAGCCUUAUGCCAGAGAAAGACGUGAUGGGAUGAAAGAGCGGCUUUAAAGACACAGUGAUGAAGAGACGAAGAGGGAGCUGGGCCAAGCUGAAUAGAGCAAGCUCUGGAUGGAAGGAAAGGCAAAAGUGGGCAUGAAGGAACAAGCCGGUCCUUGGACUUUGGGGACAGCAGGGACGCUGGAGUUGUGCUGUAACUGAGCAAUACUCCCUGCUGAUUUAGGCGUAACUGCACCCAGGAAUUUGGAGGCUGAUGGGGGCUGGAGGAAAGACUCAAUCCUUGGUUGUGAACUAAAAUCCUGCUCUGAUUCAAUUUGCCGAAAGUGACAGAUCCAAGCGGGCCGCGAACCCUCCUGGUUGUUAACGUUUUAACUCAUUGGAACUGACUGUGGGUAGUUUCAUUUCAUGCAGGUAGCCGUGGUCAAACCUCAAUAGCUUUGGAGGUUCAGAAAAGCGUCCUGGAAGCCAGAUGCUUGUCUGAACAACGUGAGUCUGCACAACUGGGCCAGUCUGCUCACGAGCACAGACCCUCUUGUGAGAUAAUAGGCACUUCCUGAUUCUGGAUGGGCCAGAAUUACCGCAAGAACUGGUAAUUCUUGUGCUACUUUGGUGCUUUUCUUUCCGCCCAGAACCAGGAAGUGUAAUGGUGUGUGAAAAACAAUCAUGUGAAUGAAAAUUGACCCAACUUUUUUGAACUUCAAGAAAGUUUUGGUUCAUGUGUUGGUUGAAGGGUCGGGUCGGUUCUUAUUUCUUCCAAAUCCACCCGUCCCAUGUGUGUGUGUGUGUGUGCGCUGAGCAACCAAAUCAAUCCCAAUAACCAAAUUCUGCAGCAUUUUCUUACAUUUUGACUGAACUGAUGAUAUCUGAUGCAUACUCCAAUGAUCAGGCAGCAAAAAUGCCCGGGGACCAGAUUAUGUGGAUGCCACAGGAAACUGGGGGCUAGUUAGACCACCGGGGUAAAAAUCCUUUCUGUUUUGCAGUGCUCAGUACGAAGGCUUUUUCAGGGACCCCCAAUAUCCACUGGCAUUGUCUUUUGGCAUUUUCUUUUCCUGAACAUUUAUUCUCACUUCGUUAAAUACAUGAAGCCAACCGAGCCAUGGCACCUUUUGGCUCUGGGAUAUUUUUCACCUGACCUUUUGGAGUAUGCAGAAUUGAAUCUCUGGUACUGGUUUUAUUUCACUGGUUGCUCCUAGCAGAUGGGAGCUUUACUUGUAGCACCCUGGUUCAUAUAAUCAGCUCUUCGUGAAAGGACUGAUAGUAUUUCUGUCCCAGGGCAGACUGACGUGUGUGAGUUGGUGUGUGUUGUGUCUGUGGAACCUAGACAGAAUUCUACCACUGUAUCAUUUUCUUAGGCAAUUUUAACUCUGACAAAGCUGUUCCAUAGGUUUAUUUUUACUAGAGAACUUAUUAAUUCAUAUGGUAUUGUAUAAAAGGUGACUGUAUGGAGCCAUUACAGGCCACUGUAUUCACUGUAUUAGGUUGGAAGCCAAAGGUCUUUGCACGGUGAAAUAACUUGACCUAAUUCUGACUAUAUCUGCUCGUUUAUUCCUCAUGUGUCACCUUGGAGUUCCUGACUCACCCAAACGGUGUCAGUCGCUAGAAUCUGUCAGUAGAACAACACCCCAUUCUGUUUGCCAUUGUAGCAAAGUCUGUUCUUAGAAAAGAGCCUUUUGUAGAUUUAUUUAAUAAAACGCUGAAACAUCUGCUUACACUA